RNAcentral lists this ribosomal RNA (460 nucleotides) under uncultured Methylomirabilota bacterium. Its description in RNAcentral is "bacterial SSU rRNA". It matches the Rfam family "Bacterial small subunit ribosomal RNA", at positions 977 to 1434 of the family's 1533-position model. Lineage: Bacteria; Methylomirabilota (SeqCode). The record is from RNAcentral.
GGGCUUGACAUCCCACGAAUCCCUUCGAAAGAAGGGAGUGCCCGCAAGGGAGCGCGGAGACAGGUGGUGCAUGGCUGUCGUCAGCUCGUGUCGUGAGAUGUUGGGUUAAGUCCCGCAACGAGCGCAACCCUCACCUCUUGUUGCCACCAGGUCAUGCUGGGCACUCUAGAGGAACUGCCCCGGUCAACGGGGAGGAAGGCGGGGAUGACGUCAAGUCAUCAUGCCCCUUACGUCCUGGGCUACACACGUGCUACAAUGGCCGGUACAAAGGGAUGCCACACCGCGAGGUAGAGCUAAACCCAAAAAGCCGGUCUAAGUUCAGAUUGGAGUCUGCAACUCGACUCCAUGAAGGAGGAAUCGCUAGUAAUUGCGUAUCAGCACGACGCGGUGAAUACGUUCCCGGGCCUUGUACACACCGCCCGUCACACCACGAAAGCCCGUUGUACUCGAAGUCGCUGAG